GUCCCGGAGGCAGGCGGGGAGGGGGCGGGCUAAGGGUGCGGGCGGAGGAGGAAGUGUCAUGGCGUCGGGCCGUGGAGCUUCUUCUCGCUGGUUCUUUACUCGAGAACAGCUGGAGAACACGCCGAGCCGCCGCUGCGGAGUGGAAGCGGAUGAAGAGCUGUCGCAUCGCCAGCAGGCGGCCAACCUCAUCCAGGACAUGGGGCAACGUCUUAAUGUGUAUCCUUUUCCUAGUUGCGGCCCUGCGUCCCACACGCCCCGGUCGCGCUCGCCGGGUGACCGGGCCUAGUGUCCCGGUAACAUGGCGCCGUUCUCUCUCUGCGGUCUUUUGAUCUCGGCAGAGAAACACAAAAAGCUAGGGCCCCAGCUGCGGCGGAGAGCCCAAGGAAGAG
Molecule: long non-coding RNA, 389 nt
Filed under: Rattus norvegicus (Norway rat)
Lineage: Eukaryota; Metazoa; Chordata; Mammalia; Rodentia; Muridae
Description: long non-coding RNA NONRATT008170
Source: RNAcentral